CGGUUUUCGUUGAGAUCUUAGAUAUAUUCAUCUGAGAUCACUGCGAAAGCUGAU
RNAcentral lists this microRNA precursor (54 nucleotides) under Schmidtea mediterranea. Its description in RNAcentral is "Sme-Bantam-P19_pre stem-loop". Lineage: Eukaryota; Metazoa; Platyhelminthes; Tricladida; Dugesiidae. The record is from RNAcentral.